GUUGUAUGGUUAAGUGACUAAGCGUACACGGUGGAUGCCUUGGCAGUCAGAGGCGAUGAAGGACGUAUUAACUUGCGAUAAGCCCAGAUUAGGUAGUAAAAACCAUUUGAGUCUGGGAUUUCCGAAUGGGGAAACCCACUAGCAUAAGCUGGUAUCGCUGCGUGAAUACAUAGCGCAGCGAGGCGAACCGGGGGAACUGAAACAUCUAAGUACCCCGAGGAAAAGAAAUCAACCGAGAUUCCGAAAGUAGCGGCGAGCGAAAUUGGACUAGCCCUUAAGCUUUUUAUGCGUCAGGUGAAACUUCUGGAAAGUUGUGCGAUACAGGGUGAUAGCCCCGUAACCGGCAACGCAUUUUAAGUGAAAUCGAGUAGGGCGGGACACGUGAUAUCCUGUCUGAAUAUGGGGGGACCAUCCUCCAAGGCUAAAUACUACUGACUGACCGAUAGUGAACCAGUACCGUGAGGGAAAGGCGAAAAGAACCCCUGUGAGGGGAGUGAAAUAGAACCUGAAACCGUGUACGUACAAGCAGUAGGAGCACCUUCGUGGUGUGACUGCGUACCUUUUGUAUAAUGGGUCAGCGACUUAUAUUCAGUGGCAAGGUUAACCAUCUAGGGGAGCCGUAGGGAAACCGAGUCUUAACUGGGCGUUCAGUCUCUGGAUAUAGACCCGAAACCAGGUGAUCUAGCCAUGGGCAGGUUGAAGGUUGAGUAACAUCAACUGGAGGACCGAACCGACUAAUGUUGAAAAAUUAGCGGAUGACUUGUGGCUAGGGGUGAAAGGCCAAUCAAACCUGGAGAUAGCUGGUUCUCCCCGAAAGCUAUUUAGGUAGCGCCUCGGACGAAUACUACUGGGGGUAGAGCACUGUUAAGGCUAGGGGGUCAUCCCGACUUACCAACCCUUUGCAAACUCCGAAUACCAGUAAGUACUAUCCGGGAGACACACGGCGGGUGCUAACGUCCGUCGUGGAGAGGGAAACAACCCAGACCGCCAGCUAAGGUCCCAAAUUACUACUAAGUGGGAAACGAUGUGGGAAGGCUCAGACAGCCAGGAUGUUGGCUUAGAAGCAGCCAUCAUUUAAAGAAAGCGUAAUAGCUCACUGGUCGAGUCGGCCUGCGCGGAAGAUGUAACGGGGCUAAGUAGUAAACCGAAGCUGCGGCAAUGCACUUUAGUGCAUUGGGUAGGGGAGCGUUCUGUAAGCGGUUGAAGGUGUGUGGUAACGCAUGCUGGACGUAUCAGAAGUGCGAAUGCUGACAUGAGUAACGAUAAAGGGGGUGAAAAACCUCCUCGCCGGAAGACCAAGGGUUCCUGUCCAACGUUAAUCGGGGCAGGGUAAGUCGACCCCUAAGGCGAGGCCGAAAGGCGUAGUCGAUGGGAAACGGGUUAAUAUUCCCGUACUUCUUACAAUUGCGAUGGGGGACGGAGAAGGCUAGGUGGGCCUGGCGACGGUUGUCCAGGUUCAAGUGCGUAGGCUGAGAAAUUAGGUAAAUCCGGUUUCUCUUAAGGCUGAGACACGACGUCGAGCUACUACGGUAGUGAAGUCAUUGAUGCCAUGCUUCCAGGAAAAGCCUCUAAGCUUCAGAUUGUAAGGAAUCGUACCCCAAACCGACACAGGUGGUCGGGUAGAGAAUACCAAGGCGCUUGAGAGAACUCGGGUGAAGGAACUAGGCAAAAUGGUACCGUAACUUCGGGAGAAGGUACGCUCUCGACGGUGAAGUCCCUCGCGGAUGGAGCUAUUGAGAGUCGCAGAUACCAGGUGGCUGCAACUGUUUAUUAAAAACACAGCACUGUGCAAAAUCGUAAGAUGACGUAUACGGUGUGACGCCUGCCCGGUGCCGGAAGGUUAAUUGAUGGGGUUAGACUUCGGUCGAAGCUCUUGAUCGAAGCCCCGGUAAACGGCGGCCGUAACUAUAACGGUCCUAAGGUAGCGAAAUUCCUUGUCGGGUAAGUUCCGACCUGCACGAAUGGCGUAAUGAUGGCCACGCUGUCUCCACCCGAGACUCAGUGAAAUUGAAAUCGCUGUGAAGAUGCAGUGUACCCGCGGCUAGACGGAAAGACCCCGUGAACCUUUACUACAGCUUGGCACUGAACAUUGACCCUACAUGUGUAGGAUAGGUGGGAGGCUUUGAAACUAGUACGCCAGUAUUAGUGGAGCCGUCCUUGAAAUACCACCCUUGUAGUGUUGAUGUUCUAACGUUGACCCCUUAUCGGGGUUGCGGACAGUGCCUGGUGGGUAGUUUGACUGGGGCGGUCUCCUCCCAAAGCGUAACGGAGGAGCACGAAGGUGGGCUAAUCACGGUUGGACAUCGUGAGGUUAGUGCAAUGGCAUAAGCCCGCUUGACUGCGAGAAUGACAAUUCGAGCAGGUGCGAAAGCAGGUCAUAGUGAUCCGGUGGUUCUGAAUGGAAGGGCCAUCGCUCAACGGAUAAAAGGUACUCCGGGGAUAACAGGCUGAUACCGCCCAAGAGUUCAUAUCGACGGCGGUGUUUGGCACCUCGAUGUCGGCUCAUCACAUCCUGGGGCUGAAGUCGGUCCCAAGGGUAUGGCUGUUCGCCAUUUAAAGUGGUACGCGAGCUGGGUUUAGAACGUCGUGAGACAGUUCGGUCCCUAUCUGCCGUGGGCGUUGGAAGAUUGAAGGGGGCUGCUCCUAGUACGAGAGGACCGGAGUGGACGAACCUCUGGUGUUCGGGUUGUGUCGCCAGACGCAUUGCCCGGUAGCUAAGUUCGGAAUCGAUAACCGCUGAAAGCAUCUAAGCGGGAAGCGAGCCCUGAGAUGAGUCUUCCCUGAUACUUUAAGUAUCCUAAAGGGUUGUUCGAGACUAGAACGUUGAUAGGCAGGGUGUGUAAGCGUUGUGAGGCGUUGAGCUAACCUGUACUAAUUGCCCGUGAGGCUUAACCAUACAACACCCAAGGGGUUU
Molecule: ribosomal RNA, 2914 nt
Filed under: Vibrio campbellii
Lineage: Bacteria; Pseudomonadati; Pseudomonadota; Gammaproteobacteria; Vibrionales; Vibrionaceae
Description: 23S ribosomal RNA
Rfam family: Bacterial large subunit ribosomal RNA
Source: RNAcentral